UAGGGAAUCUUCCGCAAUGGGCGAAAGCCUGACGGAGCAACGCCGCGUGAGUGAUGAAGGUCUUCGGAUCGUAAAACUCUGUUAUUAGGUAAGAACAAAUGUGUAAGUAACUAUGCACGUCUUGACGGUACCUAAUCAGAAAGCCACGGCUAACUACGUGCCAGCAGCCGCGGUAAUACGUAGGUGGCAAGCGUUAUCCGGAAUUAUUGGGCGUAAAGCGCGCGUAGGCGGUUUUUUAAGUCUGAUGUGAAAGCCCACGGCUCAACCGUGGAGGGUCCUUGGAAACUGGAAAACUUGAGUGCAGAAGAGGAAAGUGGAAUUCCAUGUGUAGCGGUGAAAUGCGCAGAGAUAUGGAGGAACACCAGUGGCGAAGGCGACUUUCUGGUCUGUAACUGACGCUGAUGUGCGAAAGCGUGGGGAUCAAACAGG
This 429-nucleotide ribosomal RNA is filed under the name Actinomycetes bacterium. RNAcentral describes it as "Actinobacteria bacterium partial 16S ribosomal RNA". It matches the Rfam family "Bacterial small subunit ribosomal RNA", at positions 355 to 776 of the family's 1533-position model. The record is from RNAcentral. Lineage: Bacteria; Bacillati; Actinomycetota; Actinomycetes.